This 233-nucleotide ribosomal RNA is filed under the name uncultured bacterium. Its description in RNAcentral is "partial 16S ribosomal RNA". It matches the Rfam family "Bacterial small subunit ribosomal RNA", at positions 104 to 334 of the family's 1533-position model. The record is from RNAcentral.
CGGGGUGGAGUAACGCGUGGGUAACCUGCCUCACACAGGGGAGUAACAGUUAGAAAUGACUGCUAAUACCGCAUAACCCGAUAGGAUCGCAUGAUCCAGACGGAAAAGAUUUAUCGGUGUGAGAUGGACCCGUGUCUGAUUAGCUAGUUGGUGAGGUAACGGCCCACCAAGGCGACGAUCGGUAGCCGGCCUGAGAGGGUGAACGGCCACAUUGGGACUGAGACACGGCCCAA